GCCACCACCGCCUUCACCCAUCGCCUCCGCCAUUGACACCUGCCUCACCCACCGCCUCGGAAGAAGAAGACGUGGAUCUAAGGAAGAAGACGCGGAUCCAAGGGUUGACUGCUGAGGAAGAAGACGCUACUCCUCGUCUUCGAUCUGGUGAGCUUCCACCUCUUUUGCUUCUGUUCGUCACCGGCGCGCAGACCGCCCUCCUCCUCUCUUGGUCUGAGCAUCCAGUUCAUCCCACCCGCGCCUCCUUUGGCUUCCUAUCCACCAUGGGGACGGUAAUGUUCCCUCGCUCGGGCGUUGGGCCUGUGACGACAGGCACCUGCCAAGAUGCCGUGUGAAUCCUAGUCCUAGCUCAUCCAUGGCUUCUCUGGCUGGUAGUAUCCCACUAGACCACAUCAAUGUCACUGGUGUCGUAGCGCCAUGGCCCAUGGUUGCAUGCUUGUGCGAAGAGAAUACAGACUGAGUACGACAUGUUGUGUAGCUUUCCCAUUGAAUAAGAUAGUGUAAUUUCUUUUCUUAUUUAAGACUUUUCCUUACUGCACUUGCCCAUCAAUAUUAUAAUUAGAUCUGUCAUGGGUCCUGCAACCAAUAUUAUAAUUCAAUAGCAGCACGUAUCUCAUUGUGUGUUGAGGACAGAGAUAUUUUGUUGCACGACCAAUUUCAGUAGAACAUUUGCGAUCAGAACUAUUUGCUAUUGAAAAUUUGAG
RNAcentral lists this unclassified non-coding RNA (704 nucleotides) under Zea mays. RNAcentral describes it as "misc RNA Zm00001eb005050". The record is from RNAcentral. Lineage: Eukaryota; Viridiplantae; Streptophyta; Magnoliopsida; Poales; Poaceae.